This 1017-nucleotide ribosomal RNA is filed under the name uncultured bacterium. RNAcentral's name for it is "bacterial SSU rRNA". It matches the Rfam family "Bacterial small subunit ribosomal RNA", at positions 355 to 1375 of the family's 1533-position model. The record is from RNAcentral.
UGAGGAAUAUUGGUCAAUGGGCGCGAGCCUGAACCAGCCAAGUAGCGUGAAGGAUGAAGGUCCUACGGAUUGUAAACUUCUUUUAUAAGGGAAUAAAGUCACCCACGUGUGGGUGUUUGUAUGUACCUUAUGAAUAAGCAUCGGCUAACUCCGUGCCAGCAGCCGCGGUAAUACGGAGGAUGCGAGCGUUAUCCGGAUUUAUUGGGUUUAAAGGGAGCGUAGACGGGUCGUUAAGUCAGCUGUGAAAGUUUGGGGCUCAACCUUAAAAUUGCAGUUGAUACUGGCGUCCUUGAGUACGGUUGAGGCAGGCGGAAUUCGUGGUGUAGCGGUGAAAUGCUUAGAUAUCACGAAGAACCCCGAUUGCGAAGGCAGCCUGCUAAACCGCCACUGACGUUGAGGCUCGAAAGUGUGGGUAUCAAACAGGAUUAGAUACCCUGGUAGUCCACACGGUAAACGAUGGAUACUCGCUGUUGGCGAUAGACUGUCAGCGGCUUAGCGAAAGCGUUAAGUAUCCCACCUGGGGAGUACGCCGGCAACGGUGAAACUCAAAGGAAUUGACGGGGGCCCGCACAAGCGGAGGAACAUGUGGUUUAAUUCGAUGAUACGCGAGGAACCUUACCCGGGCUUGAAUUGCAGACGAAUUGCUUGGAAACAGGCAAGCCGCAAGGCGUCUGUGAAGGUGCUGCAUGGUUGUCGUCAGCUCGUGCCGUGAGGUGUCGGCUUAAGUGCCAUAACGAGCGCAACCCUCGUGUCCAGUUACUAGCAGGUUAUGCUGAGGACUCUGGACAGACUGCCAUCGUAAGAUGUGAGGAAGGUGGGGAUGACGUCAAAUCAGCACGGCCCUUACGUCCGGGGCUACACACGUGUUACAAUGGGGGGUACAGCAGGCAGCUACCGGGCGACCGGAUGCCAAUCCCGAAAGCCUCUCUCAGUUCGGACUGGAGUCUGUAACCCGACUCCACGAAGCUGGAUUCGCUAGUAAUCGCGCAUCAGCCACGGCGCGGUGAAUACGUUCCC